UGACAAUAAUUUUUUAUUACUAUUAUUAUUUUAUGUAUUUAUUUUUUAAAGUAUCAUUCUUUGAAUUUAUUUCUUUAUACAUUUAAUUUCAUUUAUAAUUUAUUGACCUGUAUUCAGAUUUUUUUUUUACAUGUUUUCAUCUGAAACAUUCAAGUUCAAACAAACAUUUAUUUUGUGUGUGUUCUUUACAAUUGAGAUCAGUGCUAGACUCCAACUGCCCCCCCCCCCCCCUCCUCUGUUCUAGAGUCAGAUGUACGUGGGCUGCUUGGUUCAGUACAUUCCUCUUCAUUGGAAGCAGUUUGAAGAACACAACAUGCUCUGCUGUUCCAUCCUCACUACCCUCAUCCAUCUCGUAUGGGUGCGACAUGCCCGAGGGGCCAGGAAUGAAACCGGUCUGGGAGCAGAAAGCAAGAUUCCUUCCUCCUACCUGUUAUCCAGCUCAGCACAGAGGUUUCUCAGCCCCCUCAUGUUUACCUGCUGGAAGACGGUCUGGAGCUGUGAGCUAUGCUGA
This 511-nucleotide long non-coding RNA is filed under the name Carassius auratus (goldfish). RNAcentral describes it as "lncRNA (ENSCARG00000009030.1)". Lineage: Eukaryota; Metazoa; Chordata; Actinopteri; Cypriniformes; Cyprinidae. The record is from RNAcentral.